RNAcentral lists this ribosomal RNA (494 nucleotides) under uncultured bacterium. Its description in RNAcentral is "bacterial SSU rRNA". It matches the Rfam family "Bacterial small subunit ribosomal RNA", at positions 30 to 519 of the family's 1533-position model. The record is from RNAcentral.
AUUGAACGCUGGCGGCAUGCCUUACACAUGCAAGUCGAACGGAUUGAGGGGCUUGCUCCUCAGUUAGUGGCGAACGGGUGAGUAAUGCAUCGGAACGUACCCAAUCGUGGGGGAUAACGUAGCGAAAGUUACGCUAAUACCGCAUAAGUCCCGAGGGAGAAAGCAGGGGAUCGCAAGACCUUGCGCGAAUGGAGCGGCCGAUGUCGGAUUAGCUAGUUGGGGAGGUAAAGGCUCACCAAGGCGACGAUCCGUAGCUGGUCUGAGAGGACGACCAGCCACACUGGGACUGAGACACGGCCCAGACUCCUACGGGAGGCAGCAGUGGGGAAUUUUGGACAAUGGGCGAAAGCCUGAUCCAGCCAUGCCGCGUGAGUGAAGAAGGCCUUCGGGUUGUAAAGCUCUUUCGGACAGAAAGAAAUCUUCCGGGCUAAUACCUCGGAAGGAUGACGGUACUGUAAGAAGAAGCACCGGCUAACUACGUGCCAGCAGCCGCG